Long non-coding RNA from Pipistrellus kuhlii (Kuhl's pipistrelle), 745 nucleotides. RefSeq lists it as uncharacterized. The transcript has 3 exons. Lineage: Eukaryota; Metazoa; Chordata; Mammalia; Chiroptera; Vespertilionidae. The record is from RefSeq and is a predicted model, not a curated record.
CCGCCGGCUCGCCUUCCGAUCGCUGGACGGAAAGGGCCGAGCGCUCCCGGAAGGAGCCGAAGCGGCGGUGCAGGGGAAAGUCGAUGGCGGGAGGAGUGCGGCGGGAUAGGGGGGAGGAGGACGCGCGCCAGGGGUGGGGGGUCGAUGGUGCAAUAGAGCCGCUGCCUCCGCCCCGGCGGCCCGAGAGGCUCCAACCGCCCGCCGUCCCGCAGCUCGGAUCCUCCAAUCCUGCCCCUCCCCGCCCUGCAGAGAUUCUCGGCACCCCACCCUCCACUCUCCAACCUCCGCCCUCCGCCCCUGGGAGCCUUCCAGGACUGCAGCGAAGGGCGGGGCGGGGCCGUCGCCGCAGUCUGGCUGGGGAUGCUGUGGCCCCGCCGGAAAACGCCCAGCCCCGAGGAUGAGGUCACCGUGCGCUUCUCUUCCUCUCGCCCACUUUCCCAGGCCGCGUCGGGAGCCGCGGACUCAAGCCAACCUCUGCUGCUGGGUCUGGGGUUUGGGGUCAAAGACGGAGGAUGGUGUCGGGGCUCCGGGUUUGAGGAAGUGAGGCAGUGGAAGGGAGGGAGAGGAGAGAAACACGUAAGAGACACGUCAAUUGGUUUCUCUCCGGCAUGAGCCCCAGAACCCAAAACCCAGGAUCCUGCAGAAAAACUCUCUGGGAAAGCUGCCCUAAGUGAAACGGAUCUGUCUUCUGAGCUCCCAGCACUUUUAGCUCAAACCAUCCAGCCCUAAAGCCCAUAAAUCAGUC